This 85-nucleotide microRNA precursor is filed under the name Bombyx mori (domestic silkworm). Its description in RNAcentral is "mir-2807 microRNA precursor family". It matches the Rfam family "mir-2807 microRNA precursor family". The record is from Rfam by way of RNAcentral. Lineage: Eukaryota; Metazoa; Arthropoda; Insecta; Lepidoptera; Bombycidae.
UUAACUCACAAUUUGUAUAGAUUUGCAACGUUUGCCCACGUUUGCCGCUAGGGGCGCUGUUCCAACUGCAUACAAAUUUAAGUUA